Manis pentadactyla (Chinese pangolin) is the source of this 836-nucleotide long non-coding RNA. RefSeq lists it as uncharacterized. Lineage: Eukaryota; Metazoa; Chordata; Mammalia; Pholidota; Manidae. The transcript is spliced from 3 exons. The record is from RefSeq and is a predicted model, not a curated record.
UCUCAGGUACUUUCAAAACUCAGCUGUAAGUACUCAUGUGGCUCUCUCGCUGGGCUCUGUUCUAUUCCGUUGGUAUGUCUCUCACUCCACAAGUACACAUCUUGAUUACAUUUUAAUCCAGUAUUAGAAGUCCUAAAAUGAAUGAGUGUGAGUCCAACCAUCCCAGUGUAUUUAUUUCACUGAUUUCUAUCUUAAUUCUGCUGUGUGCUGAUGGUAUACUUUGUGUGAUUUACCUCUUAGGUUAUUUAGGUUUGUUUUAUGGUCCCUAGUAUGAUCUAUUUUGGUGAAUGUUCCAUGUGCACAGUUAAGUGCACGUUGUUUUAUGUGGUUGUUUGUUGGGUGAUAUUUCAUAAAUGUUAACUUAAUACAUAGUGUUGUUUAGGUCUUCCAUAUCAGGAAUCAGCACUUUUUUUUCUUUUCUGUGCUAGGGGUAAGGAUUCCUUUACACAUAAAAAUGCAUAAGACGUCAGCACUUUUUCUUAAAGAACAACAUGUUCCACUGAGAGUCCACAUAGACUGUCCUAUGAGUGAGGAGUUUGGCACUUGGCCAAGAAAACUUAUGCAUGAUUUUUCAUGUCCAACUAUUGACAAUUACAAAGGCUUUACCUGGCAAGACUUUCAGGGGUAACCUGCUAAGAGAUCUCGGCCUCUUCCACUUUUGCUUUUGGUGAGAGGUUCAAAUGCUGAAAAACAUCUGCCAGUGUGAAAGGAGCUUUACCUGGACCACCCCCAGUGGCAAUAAAAAACCUAGCCAGUCUCCUUUCCCUGUUCUCACGGGCUGUUUUUGGACCUGCUUGGGAAUCAUUCUGCUCUCCCCAGAAAGCUUUUUGAUGUGA